Small nucleolar RNA from Tachyglossus aculeatus (Australian echidna), 138 nucleotides. NCBI's taxonomy places the organism in Eukaryota, Metazoa, Chordata, Mammalia, Monotremata, Tachyglossidae. The record is from RefSeq and is a predicted model, not a curated record.
CCCCUCUCAGGGUCACAUCUGGAGAGUUUCCAGUACACUACCAGUUUCGACAACAGGAGGUAGAGUCAAGCAGAGGCUUAACUAUUGCAUUCUUAGCUUGGGCAGUGGCUAGUGAAUGGAAGACAAUCUGCUACAAGU